This 253-nucleotide ribosomal RNA is filed under the name uncultured bacterium. RNAcentral's name for it is "partial 16S ribosomal RNA". It matches the Rfam family "Bacterial small subunit ribosomal RNA", at positions 524 to 776 of the family's 1533-position model. The record is from RNAcentral.
UACGAAGGGGGCUAGCGUUGUUCGGAAUUACUGGGCGUAAAGGGCGCGUAGGCGGCCUGCUAAGUCGAACGUGAAAUCCCUGGGCUCAACCCAGGAACUGCGUCCGAUACUGGUUGGCUUGAAUCCGGGAGAGGGAUGCGGAAUUCCAGGUGUAGCGGUGAAAUGCGUAGAUAUCUGGAGGAACACCGGUGGCGAAGGCGGCAUCCUGGACCGACAUUGACGCUGAGGAGCGAAAGCCAGGGGAGCAAACGGG